RNAcentral lists this ribosomal RNA (423 nucleotides) under uncultured bacterium. RNAcentral's name for it is "bacterial SSU rRNA". It matches the Rfam family "Bacterial small subunit ribosomal RNA", at positions 207 to 622 of the family's 1533-position model. The record is from RNAcentral.
AAGACCUUGCACUUUUGGAGCGGCCGAUGUCUGAUUAGCUAGUUGGUGGGGUAAUGGCCUACCAAAGCUUCGAUCAGUAGCUGGUCUGAGAGGACGGCCAGCCACACUGGGACUGAGACACGGCCCAGACUCCUACGGGAGGCAGCAGUGGGGAAUUUUGGACAAUGGGGGCAACCCUGAUCCAGCCAUGCCGCGUGAGUGAAGAAGGCCUUCGGGUUGUAAAGCUCUUUCAGUCGGGAAGAAAAGGUUGUGACUAAUAAUUGCAAUUCAUGACGGUACCGACAGAAGAAGCACCGGCUAACUACGUGCCAGCAGCCGCGGUAAUACGUAGGGUGCGAGCGUUAAUCGGAAUUACUGGGCGUAAAGGGUGCGCAGGCGGUCUUGUAAGUCAGAUGUGAAAUCCCCGGGCUUAACCUGGGAACU